AAGUAAAAGGUUUGAUUUCUUUUUUUCGCAUAUGCAUAUAUGCCUCAACUCUUUAUCUAUUUAAAUUUUAAUAAAAACGAUAACAACAGCUUUAUAAGUUUUUUUUCUGUAAUUAUUCUUCCUUAUAUCCUGAAGGAUAUUGUAUAGUGAUCCAUAGAGGACAACUGGGUGUUUUACAACACUUCCCUGGUGCAGGUUCUU
Molecule: long non-coding RNA, 201 nt
Filed under: Mytilus galloprovincialis (Mediterranean mussel)
Lineage: Eukaryota; Metazoa; Mollusca; Bivalvia; Mytilida; Mytilidae
Source: RNAcentral